GUUAUGGAUAAGUAUCGUUGCUUUUUAGAAAAAUAUUACGCUUCUGUUUGGUGGCGCCACAAACAAAUCAUUGAACGACAAGAAGAAGAAGGUAAAGUUUUUAAUAGAGAAAGAAAUACACAAAGUUCAUCUAUUCUGGAGAAAGAACACCGGAGAAUGGAUUUCCAUUCAGUAAUGGAAACAUUUGCAGAAGCUUGGGUUGCAGCUAACACACAAACUCCAUUGACAGAAGCCGCAGAAGCUCAGGUAGGCUAUAUCACAGUUCACUUUUCCUCAUUUGCUUUUUUUUUUUUUUUUUAAAUAAAUUUUUACAUUCAUUCUUUGAGAUUUAAAAUGCCG
This 339-nucleotide long non-coding RNA is filed under the name Androctonus crassicauda. Lineage: Eukaryota; Metazoa; Arthropoda; Arachnida; Scorpiones; Buthidae. The record is from RNAcentral.